RNAcentral lists this small nuclear RNA (325 nucleotides) under Anolis carolinensis (green anole). RNAcentral's name for it is "7SK RNA". The stretch from base 1 to 287 matches the Rfam family "7SK RNA". Rfam says of the family: 7SK was discovered as an abundant small nuclear RNA in the mid-70s but a possible function has only recently been suggested. The record is from Rfam by way of RNAcentral. Lineage: Eukaryota; Metazoa; Chordata; Lepidosauria; Squamata; Anolidae.
GGAUGGGAGGGCGAUCUGGCUGCAAUAUUUGUCACCCCUUUGAUCGCUAGGAUUGAGUAGGAUGAUCUGGCUGGCUAGGUAGGUGUCCCCUUCCUCCCUCACCACUCCAUGUGCGUCCCUCCCGAAGCUGCAUGCUCGGUGGAAGAGGACAAUGUCCCAGAUAUAGAAGAAGUGUACCGAGGUCUCCAGUCUUUGGUCCCAGGUAUAAGAUAGCUGCGCUCCCCUGAUAGAACCUCCAAACAAGCUCAAAGUCCAUUUGUAGGAGAUUACAUCUACAUCACUUGUGUUCUCCCAUCCCUGACUACCACAAAUUUUGGAAAACCAG